AACUCCUACCAAAAGCCUUAUAACGAUCCAUACUCGAAUACCUAUAACCCUGGUUGGAAGAAUCAUCCAAACUUUAGGUGGAGAAACGAUCAUCCUCAACAGUCAUACCAUUCAGCUCCUCCACCUGCACAUCCUACUUAUGCACCAUCACCUUCUCAAAAGCCAAAUAUCGAGGAUACCUUGCAAUCCAUACAAACUUUUCUACAAGGUCAAGCU
Molecule: long non-coding RNA, 216 nt
Filed under: Phoenix dactylifera (date palm)
Lineage: Eukaryota; Viridiplantae; Streptophyta; Magnoliopsida; Arecales; Arecaceae
Description: long non-coding RNA (PDAC_LNC008935)
Source: RNAcentral